Molecule: ribosomal RNA, 426 nt
Filed under: uncultured bacterium
Lineage: Bacteria
Description: bacterial SSU rRNA
Rfam family: Bacterial small subunit ribosomal RNA
Source: RNAcentral
UGGGGAAUUGUUCGCAAUGGGCGCAAGCCUGAUGACGCAACGCCGCGUGGGGGAUGAAGGCCUUCGGGUCGUAAACCCCUGUCGAAUGGGACGAAUAGCCCGCGAUCUAACAAAACGAGGGAUUGACGGUACCGGUAACGGAAGCCACGGCCAACUCUGUGCCUGCAGCCGCGGUAAUACGUAGGGUGCAAGCGUUAAUCGGAAUUACUGGGCGUAAAGCGUGCGCAGGCGGUUAUGUAAGACAGGUGUGAAAUCCCAGGGCUUAACCUUGGAACUGCAUUUGUGACUGCAUAGCUAGAGUACGGUAGAGGGGGAUGGAAUUCCGCGUGUAGCAGUGAAAUGCGUAGAUAUGCGGAGGAACACCGAUGGCGAAGGCAAUCCCCUGGACCUGUACUGACGCUCAUGCACGAAAGCGUGGGGAGCAAA